Molecule: ribosomal RNA, 261 nt
Filed under: uncultured bacterium
Lineage: Bacteria
Description: partial 16S ribosomal RNA
Rfam family: Bacterial small subunit ribosomal RNA
Source: RNAcentral
GGCCUACGGGACGCAGCAGUGGGGAAUAUUGGGCAAUGGGCGCAAGCCUGACCCAGCAACGCCGCGUGAAGGAAGAAGGCUUUCGGGUUGUAAACUUCUUUUCUCAGGGACGAAGCAAGUGACGGUACCUGAGGAAUAAGCCACGGCUAACUACGUGCCAGCAGCCGCGGUAAUACGUAGGUGGCAAGCGUUAUCCGGAUUUACUGGGUGUAAGGGGGGGGAGGGGGGGAAAGAAAGUCAAAUUUGAAACCCACGGCUUAA